UACGUAGGGGGCAAGCGUUGUCCGGAAUCAUUGGGCGUAAAGAGCGUGUAGGCGGCCCGGUAAGUCCGCUGUGAAAGUCCAGGGCUCAACCCUGGGAUGCCGGUGGAUACUGUCGGGCUCGAGUCCGGAAGAGGAGUGUGGAAUUCCUGGUGUAGCGGUGAAAUGCGCAGAUAUCAGGAGGAACACCAAUGGCGAAGGCAGCCCCCUGGGUCAAGAUUGACGCUCAUGCGCGAAAGCGUGGGGAGCAAACAGG
Molecule: ribosomal RNA, 253 nt
Filed under: uncultured bacterium
Lineage: Bacteria
Description: partial 16S ribosomal RNA
Rfam family: Bacterial small subunit ribosomal RNA
Source: RNAcentral